GAUACCGUAACUUCGGAAGAAGGUAUGCCUUUUUUGGUCACUGGACUUGCUCCAGGAAGCUGAAGAAGGCCACAGGUAAUCGGGGGCUGCGACUGUUUACCAAAAACACAGGACUCUGCGAACACGUAAGUGGAUGUAUAGGGUCUGACGCCUGCCCGGUGCCGGAAGGUUAAUUGAUGGGGUCAGCCGCAAGGCGAAGCUCUUGAUCGAAGCCCCGGUAAACGGCGGCCGUAACGAUAACGGUCCUAAGGUAGCGAAAUUCCUUGUCGGGUAAGUUCCGACCUGCACGAAUGGCGUAACGCUGGCCCCACUGUCUCGACCAGAGACUCAGUGAAGUUGAAAUCGCUGUGAAGAUGCGGCGUAGCUGCGGAAAGACGGAAAGACCCCGUGAACCUUUACUACAGCUUUACACUGAACUUUGAAUUUGUUUGUGUAGGAUAGGUGGGAGCCUUUGAAGCAGGGGCGCUAGCUCUUGUGGAGGCAACCUUGAAAUACCACCCUGAUAACUUCGGAGUUCUAACCUAGGUCCGUAAUCCGGACUGGGAACACUGUAUGGUGGGUAGUUUGACUGGGGCGGUCUCCUCCCAAAGAGUAACGGAGGAGUGCAAAGGUACCCUCAGCGCGGUCGGUCAUCGCGCUUUUGAGUGCAAUGGCAUAAGGGUGCUUGACUGCGAGACGUACAUGUCGAGCAGGAACGAAAGUUGGUCAUAGUGAUCCGGUGGUUCUGUAUGGAAGGGCCAUCGCUCAACGGAUAAAAGGUACUCCGGGGAUAACAGGCUUAUUCCUCCCAAGAGUCCACAUCGACGGAGGAGUUUGGCACCUCGAUGUCGGCUCAUCACAUCCUGGGGCUGUAGCAGGUCCCAAGGGUUCGGCUGUUCGCCGAUUAAAGUGGUACGCGAGCUGGGUUCAAAACGUCGUGAGACAGUUUGGUCCCUAUCUUCCGUAGCCGUUGGAGAUUUGAGGGUGAGUUGCUCCUAGUACGAGAGGACCGGAGUGAACGUAUCUCUGGUGUUCCGGUUGUCACGCCAGUGGCACUGCCGGGUAGCUAUAUACGGACGGGAUAACCGCUGAAAGCAUCUAAGCGGGAAGCCCCCCCCAAGACGAGAUCUCCCUGAGGACUUGAUCCUCCUGAAGGGCCCAAGAAGACUACUUGGUUGAUAGGCUGGGUGUGUACGCACAGCAAUGUGCUUAGCUAACCAGUACUAAUUGCCCGUGAGGCUUGACCG
RNAcentral lists this ribosomal RNA (1226 nucleotides) under metagenome. RNAcentral describes it as "bacterial LSU rRNA". It matches the Rfam family "Bacterial large subunit ribosomal RNA", at positions 1724 to 2925 of the family's 2925-position model. The record is from RNAcentral.